UACGGGGGGGAGCAAGCGUUGUUCGGAUUUACUGGGCGUAAAGGGCGCGUAGGCGGCCUCCGCAAGUCGACUGUGAAAUCUCCGGGCUUAACUCGGAACGGUCAAGUGAUACUGUCGUGCUAGAGUACAGAAGGGGCAACUGGAAUUCUCGGUGUAGCGGUGAAAUGCGUAGAUAUCGAGAGGAACACCUGCGGCGAAGGCGGGUUGCUGGGCUGAUACUGACGCUGAGGCGCGAAAGCUAGGGGAGCGAACGGG
RNAcentral lists this ribosomal RNA (255 nucleotides) under uncultured bacterium. RNAcentral's name for it is "partial 16S ribosomal RNA". It matches the Rfam family "Bacterial small subunit ribosomal RNA", at positions 524 to 776 of the family's 1533-position model. The record is from RNAcentral.